GGAUCAAUCUGUUGGUCGUGCCUUUGGUACGUACUAGCUUAUUGAUUUCUCCAUUCUGACGAACCAUGAUGUCAUUAAUUUGGUGUCAUGGGGAAUCAGGACUGUUACUUCGAAAAAAUUAGAGUGUUUAAAGCAAGCUAACGCUUGAAUACAUUAGCAUGGAAUAAUGAAAUAGGACGCUCGAUCCUAUUUUGUUGGUUUCUAGGAUUGACGUA
This 215-nucleotide ribosomal RNA is filed under the name Campeiostachys nutans. RNAcentral's name for it is "Elymus nutans partial small subunit ribosomal RNA". The stretch from base 39 to 215 matches the Rfam family "Eukaryotic small subunit ribosomal RNA", at positions 686 to 864 of the family's 1831-position model. The record is from RNAcentral. Lineage: Eukaryota; Viridiplantae; Streptophyta; Magnoliopsida; Poales; Poaceae.